AGAAAGACCGAGACUGAGGGAGAAAGAAGCGGAGAGAAGCAGCGAGACAGGGAGAGACGCGGCGAGAGGCGCGGAAACGCAGCGGUUAGAGCUCUAGACUCCCCGAGGACCCAGAGAGGCAGCCAGGGUCUUCCACCUGAGCCAAGGGACGAACUGGAUGAAAAACCCAACUGGAAAAUUUGAGACCGAAAUGGAGGCAGCCAACAUCCACUUUCAUGAGAAACCAGGAGCAGACAGCAUUAUUGGGAGAAGAGGAAGACCAGAGAAAAUGUGCUCCAGACAAGGGCCAAGACAGGAAUAAAGUGCUCCGGCCUUCCUACUCCCUCCUCCGCCCCACCUCCGUGGGAACCUUGAGCCUGUGAUGCUUCUCUGGUAUUAAAUGGCUCCCGCUUUACUCUGCCCCACAAAGAUGUUGAUCUCCCUUCCUGCCAUCUGUCCCUUUCACUCAGCCUUUCCCUGGAUGUCCUAAUAACCACGAGUUCUCAAAUUCUGCUCCAUACAGAGUUUUGCAAGCUUGGCCAAGCUGUUUCCUGUAAAAUCCAGAUAGGCAGGCAUUUCUACUAAGCAGAAAAAAAAAAAAAAAAAAAGUUAGAGGUGAAAUGUUUCUCAGUUGUAAAUUUCUCUUCUGAGGCCUACCCUUCUCCCCUAUUCAUGCUUUGGAACCCAGUUCAGAUAUCACCCCCCUGUGGUACUAAAUCACUCUCUCUUCUCUGAUGCCUUUGUACCUAGUACAUUUUCCUCUCAGUGGGCUGAUGAUAAUAUUGUGCAGUUGUCCAUUUCUGUGGCUUGGGGGCAGGCUGGACUAUAUCUGAAUCAUCUUUGUCUCCCUGGUAUACAUUAGCUACUCAGUAAAUAUUCAUUUUUCAUAAACUUUCUUUCAUUAUUUGUGCUGGAAUCUGAUAUGAGAUGCUAUUGAUUUUAGCCAUCAGUGUAUGUUUUGUCAUUUUAUUUUCAGUCCACUAUGAAUUUUUUUUGUGUUUCUGAAAGAGCACACCUAUUCCCAAGUGGUCUAUCUAUACAAGUGGGAGACCCAAGGGCACUGACAAAUGCACAUAAAAUUCUUAGCUGAACACCUAGAAGGGUGAGGGACUCCCUCCUGGAGCUCCUGUAAAAGCUCAAAGAAGCUUUUAAUGGGCAUUUAGAAUACUCCUUAAUGUUUUGUUUGUUCAUCAAAUUGUUGAGAACCUACUAUCUACAAAACACAUUUUAAGGUCUAGGAGUAUAGUAGUUAAUAAGACAGACAAAAAAGACAAUAAUUCUUGAACUUACAUUCUAGCAGGGGGAAAAGAAUAAUACAAAUUGAUAAUAGGAAACAUACAUAUAACACAUUAGAUGGUGAUAAGCUGGGGAGAGGGAUGGAGAAUGUGGUGGUAGGGUGGGGAGAUUGCAAUUUUAAUUGAAUGAUCAGGAGGCCUCACUGAGAAAGUGGCAUUGGGCAAAGACCUGAAGAAAGAGAGCAAACGAUGGGAAAACAAGAAGCAACAUUCCAGACAGCGGAAACAGCAAGUACAAAGGCCAUGAGGCAGAAGCAUGCAUAAUGUGUUGGGAGAACAGCAAAGGGGCUAGCGUAACUGCAGUGGA
This is a long non-coding RNA of Felis catus (domestic cat), 1581 nucleotides long. RefSeq lists it as uncharacterized. The transcript has 3 exons. NCBI's taxonomy places the organism in Eukaryota, Metazoa, Chordata, Mammalia, Carnivora, Felidae. The record is from RefSeq and is a predicted model, not a curated record.